GAAAGUGACCAAAUGAUUUAGAGCGUUAUAUCGGAUGAAUUAAGUGGAAGCAAAGUUAAACGUUAAUCCAAUAUUGGAAUGAAAAGAUGGUUAAGACCAUGAAGUAUUGAGAUUUAACACAAGAAAGAAGUUUGCCAAGGAAGAUAAGUUGGAAGGAUGAAUAUGUUAGAGGUUUAAAAUUGAAGAGAAGUCAAGUGUUGGUCUAAGACAUUG
This 213-nucleotide long non-coding RNA is filed under the name Lathyrus oleraceus (garden pea). Its description in RNAcentral is "Pisum sativum (pea) long non-coding RNA (PSAT_LNC013767)". Lineage: Eukaryota; Viridiplantae; Streptophyta; Magnoliopsida; Fabales; Fabaceae. The record is from RNAcentral.